GCUCUAAGCCCGCCCCUCUCCAUAUAAGGGAGCUGUUAACCAAUCAUCGCUCUCUUGGUUCCUGUACUGCAAAGCAGUAACAUCUCUCUUGGGUUCCGGACUAGCAGAGAGAGAGGAGAUCGGUGAAAACUUACAAGACAAAACUAGGCCUGAAGCCUACCAAUUCAGCAGCUUACUAAACCUAUUGCCUGUGUGUCUGUAUGAGGAGUCCAAAUACAGGAAGUGAAGGUGGACAAGCAGGGCUCCGUACGCUGAGGACAAGCAGAGCUCUGUAUGCUGAGGACAAGCAGGGCUCUGUACACAGAGGAUAAACAGGGCUCUGUGCACCAAGGACAAGCAGGGCUCUGUGCACCGAGGACAAGCAGGGCUCUGUGCACCGAGGACAAGCAGGGCUCUGUACACAGAGGACAAGCAGGGCUCUGUGCACCGAGGACAACCAGGGCUCUGAGCACUGAGGACAAGCAGGGCUCUGUUCUGUGCGCCGAGGACAAGCAGGGCUCUGUGCGCCGAGGACAAGCAGGGCUCUGUACACAAAGGACAAGCAGGGCUCUGUGCACCGAGGACAAGCAGGGCUCUGUGCACCGAGGACAAGCAGGGCUCUGUGCACCGAGGACAAGCAGGGCUCUGUACACAGAGGACAAGCAGGUCUCUGUGCACCGAGGACAACCAGGGCUCUGAGCACUGAGGACAAGCAGGGCUCUGUUCUGUGCGCCGAGGACAAACGGGGCUCUGUGCGCCGAGGACAAGCAGGGUUCUGUGCACUGAGGGUCUGUGACACGCUCCUAGCUCACACCUGAGGAUGAUUGACGAGCCAGGAGCCUGCACAGAGCCCUGCUUUUCCUACCCUCACUUCCUGUAUUGGACUUCUCAUAGAGACACACACAUAGAGCUGCAGGGAUAGCACUUUUUCACCCAAAAAUGUAAAAAAAAAUUUACCAAUGUAUAUUGCAAAUAUACAUAUAAUAGUAUUAUCUACAUUAUAUAAAAAAAAUGUUUACGACAGGUACACCUUACUUCUUUCAGCCGAAUAUUGAGAGAAAUGCUUUUAGGACUGGAAAUGGCUGCAUGGCCUUAGCACUGACUAAUUCAGUUGGCACAGACCACACUAUUCGAAUUUCUGAGCUGAAUUUCUCCGCUUGGACAUUCAGUAGUGUGCAUGGACCUGUAGUUGCCCCUGUGAUGUCCCAGUACAGGACCCGGUCUUGUAUUACCCUUAGGCCCUGUCAAGUUGAGUCCCUCAGUGACCUGGGGGCUCCCCUGCAAGGUCUCCCGCUGUUGGUUUUAUAAAGGUGUGUGUGUCACUUCAAUACCUAGACAGGAUCUCUAUGUAUAGGUAGUAUAGAGGACCUGAGGGAGGUCUCAAGGACCUGUAUAAGUCUGUCACAUGUUAUGUUAUGCAUUCUCAUGAUUUGUUGUCACAUGUUCUCCCAGAGAGCACCAGCUUAACCUAUGACCCACAGCUUGACCAAUGGGCUUUAGUCCAGCCCCCCCUCACUAUAUAAAGGGGCGGCAAUUACAGUUCACUCUUUUAGCACUUACCACCAGCUACCCUACUGAGCUCAGCUACCAUAGAAGUGAUUAGCAUCUGGAAGGCCACAAAAUCUACAGUCUCUCCAGUCUAUUUCUGCUGUCACUGAAACUAGUCAAGUCCUGCACAUAGUCAAGUCUAAUUUCAAGUCAAGUUAACUACAAGUAUAUUGGUCCAGCAAGCUGCGAGGUCCUCUGGGAGAUAAUAACACCUGUCUUCUACUCAGUAAAGCCUCCGUUUGACCAUAA
Hyla sarda is the source of this 1776-nucleotide long non-coding RNA. RefSeq lists it as uncharacterized. Lineage: Eukaryota; Metazoa; Chordata; Amphibia; Anura; Hylidae. The record is from RefSeq and is a predicted model, not a curated record. The transcript is spliced from 2 exons.